CUUUUUUUCUUUUCUUUUUUUUUUUUUUUUAAAUAAAAAAGCAAUUGACCGAAGCAUUUUCUUUUUUUAGGUAAAUAGCAAAAAUAAAAAUAAAAACCAACCCUGGCAUUUGCACAAAUAAUGCAAAUGGAGUGAUAUGGCCUUUAAGGAAGGGGUUAGUAGAAAGGAAGACGGAAGUGAAGAAAAUCCAGAGAAAAUGAUGUACUAAUUUCUUUCUUUUAAAAAAUUUCUACAUGUGCAAAAAAAAAUCAUGCUGUUUGAGGAAAACAAAGGGAAAUGAGUACAUAAAACUAAAAACAUAAAUACGUUUGGGUGACUGGUAAAAGUAGAAACCAACCUGGGUUACAAAAAGGAUUAUACAUUCAAGAUGCUCUUAAACCCAGUGGGAUAACUUAUGUUAAAACUGUGUUAAUAGUUACGUUAGAAAUCUCAAGUUUGUUUUUAAAUCUUCACAAUACAAGCAAAGCUGUUUUAAAAUAUACACUAUACAUAUUUCUCAUAGUCUCUUCAACCUCAUUAAUGCGCAUUAGGCUUUUUCAUAUACUAAAACAAGGGGGUUCUGAAAGCUAAUUUGCUUAUAGUAACCCAUCCAUUAUUUAAAUGGUUGUCUUAAGUUUUAAGUGGGCUAAAAAACUUUAGCAGAUUUACAUAAAUAGGAUUUAGCAACACAAGUGUUAAUUUAAAAAACUCUAAAGCAUUUACAAAUUAUCAGAUUGGAACAGUCCGGGGAAGUUAUGUGCAGUAUACUUUAAAUGUUAUUUACAUCCAACCAUUGCUUUUGUAAAAAUUUCCCUAAAAAAAAAAAAAAAAAAAAAAAAAGGUUUGGAGAAUUAACCUGUUCUAGCAGAGAAGGAUCGAAAAAGGAAAGGUAAAAUGGGAACAAAAUUAUCUUCUAAUAGAAACCCCACACACACAUCCUUCUCUUUUCUUGGAUUUUACUCAAUGAAACCACCUGCAACUCCUAACAGGCUCAUAUAUAAGGUGUCAAGGUGUGAUAAAAUACCUUUGCAGAUAAAUUACUGGCCUUAAGAGGACUUUUUUUUGUUUGUUUGAAAUGUUUUCCCACCUUGUGUCUCUGGCUUGGAUUAUUCUUGGACGCAUGUAAUUAAUUGGAGGGGCACUCCUAAGUAGGCACAAUUCCCAUUUAAUGUGGAAUAAAAGGCAUAAAAUGCUGUUAUGAAGAAGGGUGGUGGUUUCUUUGAUAUUGUGAAAUGCAAAGAAGGACAGCAGCACAUUUGGAAUGGGAACCAAAAGAGAGCUGUCUGGCAAUACACCAGGACAGCCAACAUCUUGAUAAGUUAUAUAUACACUUGUCUAUGACAAAGGAAAAAGGGUUGGAAGGGUUCCAAUAGCCUCUGGGUUUUUGGAUACGUGCCAAACGGUCACAUAGACCACCCAGAAUCAGCAAAUGUUGGGCAGUUACCUCCUUUAAAGUCACAUAAUUCACUCCAUGACCAUGUGCAAUUUAUGGUAACUAUGUUCAUGCCCAGGCAAUGUAUUUGGGGCUCAGAAAAAGCAAAAUGUGCCACUGAGAGAAUCCUGUUCCCUAUAUAACUGGUCUUCAUGCUUUCAAGUGGCCCUAAUACACCUUGGAUAUUAAGCCAAGCCAUGCAAAAGCAAAGAGCACACACUUUUCAUUAACACUGGUAUCUCAUUUCUAAACCACUGACCUCAGAGUUGCCAUAGAAACAUAUUAACACGAGUACUGAAAGCAUACAACUGAGAGUUCAUGGAUUUCUAAGAAAUGCAUUUCCCUCGUCUAUGUUCAUCAGCCUUUAAUACUUUGGCUACAAGGCAUAUCAGAGAAAGGGAGGUUAAAUUGGGUAAUGACAAAAGAACAUACGUAAUGUUCCAGAAAUGGGAUCAAUGUGCCAGCAAUAAGCAUAGUUCAUUUCAUUUGAAAAUUCAGUUAAAGAGCCCAAUAAACAGUUCCAAACCAUUUUAUCACCUGCAUAAUUUACAUAAACAUUAAAACACUUGCACUUUAUAGACAAAACACACUUUUGUAAACAUGGCCACUGGGGGAGAGAGGCUCCCUACCUCAUUCAUGAUUGAGGACAUGUGAUCAUUUAUAUUAAAUAAAGUUAUUUCACUGCAAAAGAUCUCAAACCUGACCAAUGAUUAAGCUUUAUUUCCCCCUGUUUAACAACAUUUAAGUAUUAAUUCUAAAAAUGUCACCUAGGAUGGUUUCAGGGUUAGAUGCUAGGACCACAACUGGUAAUGACAGCAACUUCUCUCUAGCUGGCACAGACCUAUAAACUUUAGUACAAAAACAAAAAAAUACAGAAACUAGGUCAAUUUGUUAGCUACAUAUUUACAGAUAAUUACAUGAUUUUUCACUCACAAGUGCUAAAUACUUUGAGUGAAACAAAACUGUGCAGGUUGAAUUACCCGUACUUUGGGGGGAAUUCUGGGCAUCAAGAUACCCUUUUUCAUUCAUUUAAAAGUCUCAUCUUCUCUCCACUUUUUCAUGACAAACUACCUACAGAUGUUCAGAUUAGUAUAUCCAGUGGGCAUCCUGGUGUUUCAGUGAGGAUUAACCUUUUUCUCUACUUAAAGAAUUCCUUGUAUAUUUAAAAACAAAACAAUACAAUACAAUCACACAGACAUAUAUACAAAAAAAAAAAAAAAA
Long non-coding RNA from Macaca fascicularis (crab-eating macaque), 2632 nucleotides. NCBI's taxonomy places the organism in Eukaryota, Metazoa, Chordata, Mammalia, Primates, Cercopithecidae. The record is from Ensembl.